GAGUUGCGAACGGGUGAGUAACGCGUAGGUAACCUGCCUAUUAGAGGGGGAUAACUAUUGGAAACGAUAGCUAAUACCGCAUAACAGUAUGUAACACAUGUUAGAUGCUUGAAAGAUGCAAUUGCAUCGCUAGUAGAUGGACCUGCGUUGUAUUAGCUAGUAGGUAGGGUAAAGGCCUACCUAGGCAACGAUACAUAGCCGACCUGAGAGGGUGAUCGGCCACACUGGGACUGAGACACGGCCCAGACUCCUACGGGAGGCAGCAGUAGGGAAUCUUCGGCAAUGGGGGGAACCCUGACCGAGCAACGCCGCGUGAGUGAAGAAGGUUUUCGGAUCGUAAAGCUCUGUUGUUAAGGAAGAACGAGUGUGAGAAUGGAAAGUUCAUGCUGUGACGGUACUUAACCAGAAAGGGACGGCUAACUACGUGCCAGCAGCCGCGGUAAUACGUAGGUCCCGAGCGUUGUCCGGAUUUAUUGGGCGUAAAGCGAGCGCAGGCGGUUAGAAAAGUCUGAAGUGAAAGGCAGUGGCUCAACCAUUGUAGGCUUUGGAAACUGUUUAACUUGAGUGCAGAAGGGGAGAGUGGAAUUCCAUGUGUAGCGGUGAAAUGCGUAGAUAUAUGGAGGAACACCGGUGGCGAAAGCGGCUCUCUGGUCUGUAACUGACGCUGAGGCUCGAAAGCGUGGGGAGCGAACAGGAUUAGAUACCCUGGUAGUCCACGCCGUAAACGAUGAGUGCUAGGUGUUGGGUCCUUUCCGGGACUCAGUGCCGCAGCUAACGCAUUAAGCACUCCGCCUGGGGAGUACGACCGCAAGGUUGAAACUCAAAGGAAUUGACGGGGGCCCGCACAAGCGGUGGAGCAUGUGGUUUAAUUCGAAGCAACGCGAAGAACCUUACCAGGUCUUGACAUCCCGAUGCUAUUUCUAGAGAUAGGAAGUUUCUUCGGAACAUCGGUGACAGGUGGUGCAUGGUUGUCGUCAGCUCGUGUCGUGAGAUGUUGGGUUAAGUCCCGCAACGAGCGCAACCCUUAUUGUUAGUUGCCAUCAUUGAGUUGGGCACUCUAGCGAGACUGCCGGUAAUAAACCGGAGGAAGGUGGGGAUGACGUCAAAUCAUCAUGCCCCUUAUGACCUGGGCUACACACGUGCUACAAUGGCUGGUACAACGAGUCGCAAGCCGGUGACGGCAAGCUAAUCUCUGAAAGCCAGUCUCAGUUCGGAUUGUAGGCUGCAACUCGCCUACAUGAAGUCGGAAUC
Molecule: ribosomal RNA, 1251 nt
Filed under: Streptococcus anginosus
Lineage: Bacteria; Bacillati; Bacillota; Bacilli; Lactobacillales; Streptococcaceae
Description: bacterial SSU rRNA
Rfam family: Bacterial small subunit ribosomal RNA
Source: RNAcentral